GACGAACGCUGGCGGCGUGCUUAACACAUGCAAGUCGAACGGAAAGGCCCUGCUUUUGUGGGGUGCUCGAGUGGCGAACGGGUGAGUAACACGUGAGUAACCUGCCCUUGACUUUGGGAUAACUUCAGGAAACUGGGGCUAAUACCGGAUAGGAGCUCCUGCUGCAUGGUGGGGGUUGGAAAGUUUCGGCGGUUGGGGAUGGACUCGCGGCUUAUCAGCUUGUUGGUGGGGUAGUGGCUUACCAAGGCUUUGACGGGUAGCCGGCCUGAGAGGGUGACCGGCCACAUUGGGACUGAGAUACGGCCCAGACUCCUACGGGAGGCAGCAGUGGGGAAUAUUGCACAAUGGGCGGAAGCCUGAUGCAGCAACGCCGCGUGCGGGAUGACGGCCUUCGGGUUGUAAACCGCUUUCGCCUGUGACGAAGCGUGAGUGACGGUAAUGGGUAAAGAAGCACCGGCUAACUACGUGUCAGCAGCCGCGGUGAUACGUAGGGUGCGAGCGUUGUCCGGAUUUAUUGGGCGUAAAGGGCUCGUAGGUGGUUGAUCGCGUCGGAAGUGUAAUCUUGGGGCUUAACCCUGAGCGUGCUUUCGAUACGGGUUGACUUGAGGAAGGUAGGGGAGAAUGGAAUUCCUGGUGGAGCGGUGGAAUGCGCAGAAAUCAGGAGGAACACCAGUGGCGAAGGCGGUUCUCUGGGCCUUUCCUGACGCUGAGGAGCGAAAGCGUGGGGAGCGAACAGGCUUAGAUACCCUGGUAGUCCACGCUGUAAACGGUGGGUACUAGGUGUGGGGUCCAUUCCACGGGUUCCGUGCCGUAGCUAACGCUUUAAGUACCCCGCCUGGGGAGUACGGCCGCAAGGCUAAAACUCAAAGGAAUUGACGGGGCCCCGCACAAGCGGCGGAGCAUGCGGAUUAAUUCGAUGCAACGCGUAGAACCUUACCUGGGUUUGACAUGGAUCGGGAGUGCUCAGAGAUGGGUGUGCCUCUUUUGGGGUCGGUUCACAGGUGGUGCAUGGCUGUCGUCAGCUCGUGUCGUGAGAUGUUGGGUUAAGUCCCGCAACGAGCGCAACCCUUGUUCACUGUUGCCAGCACGUUAUGGUGGGGACUCAGUGGAGACCGCCGGGGUCAACUCGGAGGAAGGUGGGGAUGACGUCAAGUCAUCAUGCCCCUUAUGUCCAGGGCUUCACGCAUGCUACAAUGGCUGGUACAGAGAGUGGCGAGCCUGUGAGGGUGAGCGAAUCUCGGAAAGCCGGUCUCAGUUCGGAUUGGGGUCUGCAACUCGACCUCGUGAAGUCGGAGUCGCUAGUAAUCGCAGAUCAGCAACGCUGCGGUGAAUACGUUCCCGGGGCU
RNAcentral lists this ribosomal RNA (1346 nucleotides) under uncultured bacterium. Its description in RNAcentral is "partial 16S ribosomal RNA". It matches the Rfam family "Bacterial small subunit ribosomal RNA", at positions 28 to 1381 of the family's 1533-position model. The record is from RNAcentral.